RNAcentral lists this ribosomal RNA (786 nucleotides) under Triticum aestivum (bread wheat). Its description in RNAcentral is "partial small subunit ribosomal RNA". The record is from RNAcentral. Lineage: Eukaryota; Viridiplantae; Streptophyta; Magnoliopsida; Poales; Poaceae.
AUGGGAGCAGCAACGGCUCGCUCCCCCGACCUCGACCCUGCGCCGCUCCACCAGCCCUCACCGACGGCGGCCACCCCGGCCCCGCCGGCCACCCUCUCAGCGCCUCGCGUACUCCCUCGCCCAUGGCCACGGCCUCCAGCCUGUAGGAUUCGAGUGGAGAAUGGAGGUCAGAGGGAGGUCCAGAUCAGCCGCUCGCGCUCCUCCAAGGCUGCGUCGACGACCACUCCGGUUCCGCCGCCCGCCGCCCCGCCUUCAUUGUCGGCUCCGUCCACUCAGCUGCCAGAGCCACCGGCGUCCCCCAACAUUGGGCUCCCUCAGCUCGAUCCAGAUCAGGCGGAUCUGGAUUCCAUCUCCCUGUCGCCUCCGGCUGGCCGGAGCCCUGCUUCUGCCGAUGUGACGGAGGUUCUGCUUGGGGCCAAGAGUGGCUGCACAACCAUUAUUGGUGAGAAGGAGGUGGAGUUUGCUCUGUUGCUGCAUCCGACGGCCACGCAUGGCCUCGUCCCCUCUGUGCAGAUCCCGCCUUGCCCCGAUGUUGGGGAUGGGGCCGAAGUUGCUGCCUUGGUUAUGCAGUCGCCGCCUGGUGAAGAUGCUGAGUUCGUGCCGUGCACGCUGCCGACCGUUGCCGAAGGCCGCACUUCCGGCGCUGCAAUGAUGGGGGAGCUGGCGCAGCUGGAGACGAAUGUUGUGGAUUGUGUGCCAUCCGCUUCUUGCUUUUCCGUGUCGUCUUCUUGUGAUACAGCGGAGGCUGUAGAUGCUCAGCCUGGGAAGGUCCUUGGAUUUUCGUAG